GACGAACGCUGGCGGCGUGCUUAACACAUGCAAGUCGAACGGAAAGGCCCUGCUUUUGUUGGGUGCUCGAGUGGCGCACGGGUGAGUAACACGUGAGUAACCUGCCCUUGACUUUGGGAUAACUUCAGGAAACUGGGGCUAAUACCGGAUAGGAUCUCCUGCUGCAUGGUGGGGGUUGGAAAGUUUCGGCUGUUGUGGAUGUACUCGCGGCUUAUCAGCUUGUUUGUGGGGUAGUUGCUUACCAAGGCUUUGACGGGUAGCCGGCCUGGGAGGGUGACCGGCAUCAGGGGGACUGAGAGAGGGAGCAGACGGCUACGGGAGGCAGUAGGGGGGAGUAUGGCAGAACGGGGGGGAGUGAGAGACAGAAAUCUUGCGAGCGGGAAAACGGGCUUCGGGGGGAAAACAGAUGUGGACGGUGACGAAGAGGGAGUGACGGUAAUGGAUAAAGAAGCAACGGCUAACUACGUG
Molecule: ribosomal RNA, 468 nt
Filed under: uncultured bacterium
Lineage: Bacteria
Description: partial 16S ribosomal RNA
Rfam family: Bacterial small subunit ribosomal RNA
Source: RNAcentral